This 361-nucleotide long non-coding RNA is filed under the name Lathyrus oleraceus (garden pea). RNAcentral describes it as "Pisum sativum (pea) long non-coding RNA (PSAT_LNC007720)". The record is from RNAcentral. Lineage: Eukaryota; Viridiplantae; Streptophyta; Magnoliopsida; Fabales; Fabaceae.
AGGGUUUCGUGAGGAAGGUGAUGAAGGCGAUUGGAUGGUCGAGGAAGAUGAAGGCGAUUCGUUGGGUUGUGGAUCUGGUGGUGGUGUAACGGCGGAAAAGGAUUAUGGUUGCUGAAGGGUGUGGCGGCUAGGGUUGUCGUGAGGAAGAAGAGGGUGUGACGGCUGAGAAAGAGGAUGAAGAGAAACGGGUUUGGAUGUAAACGGCGGCGGAUUUUAGGGUUGGAGUAGAAGUGAGAGUGAGCGAUGAAGAUGAGGAAGCUUAGGAGAGUGAGAGUUUUGGAGAGAGUGGCGGCUAGGUCUUUUGUGGCCGAUCCAUGAGAUGCUGUCUCACUCUCUUUUAUCUUUUAUUUUUUUCUUUUUU